This 339-nucleotide unclassified non-coding RNA is filed under the name soil metagenome. RNAcentral describes it as "partial contains 5.8S ribosomal RNA, internal transcribed spacer 2, and large subunit ribosomal RNA". The stretch from base 1 to 120 matches the Rfam family "5.8S ribosomal RNA", at positions 35 to 154 of the family's 154-position model. The record is from RNAcentral.
GAUGAAGAACGCAGCGAAAUGCGAUAAGUAGUGUGAAUUGCAGAAUUCAGUGAAUCAUCGAAUCUUUGAACGCACAUUGCGCCCUUUGGUAUUCCUUAGGGCAUACCUGUUCGAGCGUCAUUUAAACCUUCAAGCUCAGCUUGGUGUUGGGUGACUGUCCGCCGCCUCCGGGCGGUCGGACUCGCCUCAAAUUGAUUGGCGGCCGGUACUUUGGCUUCGAGCGCAGCAGAAACGCGAACUCGAGGCCGUCGUCCUGGCUCCCAGAAGCUAUCUUCACAAUUUUGACCUCGGAUCAGGUAGGGAUACCCGCUGAACUUAAGCAUAUCAAUAAGCGGAGGA